This 216-nucleotide ribosomal RNA is filed under the name Glomeromycotina sp. RNAcentral's name for it is "partial small subunit ribosomal RNA". The stretch from base 40 to 216 matches the Rfam family "Eukaryotic small subunit ribosomal RNA", at positions 686 to 864 of the family's 1831-position model. Lineage: Eukaryota; Fungi; Glomeromycota. The record is from RNAcentral.
GGGUCAGUAGGUUGGUCGUGCCACCGGUACGUACUGGCCUCACUGAUUCCUCCUUCCUGAAGAACCGUAAUGCCGUUAAUUUGGUGUUGCGGGGAAACAGGACUGUUACUUUGAAAAAAUUAGAGUGUUUAAAGCAAGCUAACGCUUGAAUACAUUAGCAUGGAAUAAUGAAAUAGGACGAUCGAUCCUAUUUUGUUGGUUUCUAGGAUUGACGUA